GUGAGGAAUAUUGCGCAAUGGAGGCAACUCUGACGCAGCCAUGCCGCGUGCAGGAAGAAGGCGCUACGCGUUGUAAACUGCUUUUAACCGGGAAGAAACCCCAGGACGUGUCCUGGGUUGACGGUACCGGAGGAAUAAGCACCGGCUAACUUCGUGCCAGCAGCCGCGGUAAUACGAAGGGUGCAAGCGUUAUCCGGAUUCAUUUGGUUUAAAGGGUGCGUAGGAGGAGCGUUAAGUCAGUGGUGAAAUCCUGCAGCUUAACUGUAGACUUGCCAUUGAUACUGGCGCUCUUGAGUGCGCUUGAAGUGGGCGGAAUGUGCCGUGUAGCGGUGAAAUGCUUAGAUAUGGCACAGAACACCAAUUGCGAAGGCAGCUCACUAAGGCGAUACUGACGCUGAGGCACGAAAGCGUGGGGAUCGAACAGGAUUAGAAACCCGAGUAGUCC
RNAcentral lists this ribosomal RNA (445 nucleotides) under uncultured bacterium. RNAcentral's name for it is "partial 16S ribosomal RNA". It matches the Rfam family "Bacterial small subunit ribosomal RNA", at positions 354 to 796 of the family's 1533-position model. The record is from RNAcentral.